UUUUUUUUUUUUUUUUUGAUAACUCGGAACAUACCCCGUUUCGAACCACUUAAGACCCUAGCCGAUACACUAAACUGGAGGAGUACACCACGGCCUUACGCAACGCACCUCAGGCGAGUCACGGGGAUUCAAGUCCAGGGUAAGAUUCGAACCCAGGGCCAAAGAAGUCCUUAAGAGUUCGCUUACCACUGGACCACCCCCGUGGGGCGCCUCCAAUAUUGCUCCUUGAGAUGAUGUUAAGACUUUUCUAUCACCAACUCCUAUGUAACGUAAUUUAGUAGAUUUUGUUUUGUUUUGUUUGUUCUUUUUUUCUUUUUUUUGGUAGGAAUUCACUACAUACAUACAUCGAAAUAUCCUAUUUUCUGUUUUAUUGUUAGAUCUCCUACAUCAUUUUUGCUUAUAUGACUAUUCAUUAAUACUUAAAUUUGCAUCCCUCAAUAUUUUAAGCCUCUUUACUUGGUUUUUAAGGCAGAAAGUAAAAAAAAAAAAAGAAAAAAAAGAAAUGAGAGUUUUCUCGGAAGGAAAAAACGAAUUUCUAUGAAGAUGUGGAACUAAAGAAAGUGACUAGGCUUGGAGAUUUGGUUUCUUACUCUAGAAACCAUUGUAAUUUUCCUACAUUGCAAUUUUAGCGUUAUAACAACUUAUUAUUUGUUUCCUUAACUAUUGCAAAUUACCAUUGCACUAAAAUGGUGUGACUCUCUGAUAUGUAAAAGCAACUUCUCGUAAGACUAUUUCAAAUAGCAAAACGUUUAGUGUUGGAAGGCUCCAACAUUUUGGACUAGUUUUGGAACUAUGAACUAAUAUUGGAUUUACCAUUAUUUUGUUGGUUCUGUUUAGUAGUAGUUUAGUGUUGGAAGGCUCCAACAUUUUGGACUAGUUUUGGAACUAUGAACUAAAAUUGGAUUUACCAUUAUUUUGUUGGUUCUGUUUGGAAUUUGGUAGCAAAUUCACUUGUUUAGUAGUAGUAAAGCGGGUAAAGGUUGUCCAUUUGCCAAUUGAGAAUUUACCAUAUAUUAUCGCAACUGUUAAUGGGAAGAGUAUUGCAACAUAAGAGAGUCUAGAUGAAACUUUUUCAAACCUCAAUAGAUCCAACUGAUUUUUGACCCAAAAGAGUCUUAUCGAAUAAAAAUUUCAUCUUCCAUUCUUUUUGCUUUUCCUGCGUCCACAGUUUCUCUGGAUGCAAAGUCUGCAAAUGUAAGUUAUCUAUUGGGAAGGCUGAAAUUUCUGACUGCACAAAACACUUGAAAACUUAUGUUAUAUCCCAUCUUAACUUUACUUUUACAUUCAAAAAGAAUUUACGAAUCUUAAAGCACCAUGAUUUAGCAAUUAAAUCUUUCAAGUACAAUGUAGGUGAAUAAUUUAUACCUUAACUGUGCUUAUAGGUGAGGCUGUCUGCAAGGAUUUAGUGAUUGAUAUCCACAGUGCAAUGCAUCAUGAGCAAGGUAACAAAAGAAAGUAGAAAAAGAAGAGCUAAUGCUUAUUCACUUGAUGCCAUGUAGAUUCGUUUUGAGAAAAUUUUAGUUUCAAGUAUAAACUAGAACCAGACAUAGAGGCAAACUGGAAAGCACUUAAGAAACUUAAAGCUUCAAAAGAGUGUCACAAGAUGCAAGGAGAUUAUGCAAUUUUUACAGAGUAUCCUGAACAGAAAAGCAAAGGAAAACUAGUUACAAGCAUUACUGAGGUAGAAUUAGAUCCUGGAAGGAAUCAAGGGAGUGGUGUUCUGUAGGUAUGCACAAGCAGCUCCCACUCCACUACCUAGCUUAACAGGGUAACCAACAUCCUUGAGUACCAUCUCCA
This 1797-nucleotide long non-coding RNA is filed under the name Coffea arabica (coffee). RNAcentral's name for it is "long non-coding RNA (CARA_LNC000631)". Lineage: Eukaryota; Viridiplantae; Streptophyta; Magnoliopsida; Gentianales; Rubiaceae. The record is from RNAcentral.